Molecule: ribosomal RNA, 571 nt
Filed under: Debaryomyces psychrophilus
Lineage: Eukaryota; Fungi; Ascomycota; Pichiomycetes; Serinales; Debaryomycetaceae
Description: eukaryotic LSU rRNA
Rfam family: Eukaryotic large subunit ribosomal RNA
Source: RNAcentral
AAACCAACAGGGAUUGCCUUAGUAACGGCGAGUGAAGCGGCAAAAGCUCAAAUUUGAAAUCUGGCGCCUUCGGUGUCCGAGUUGUAAUUUGAAGAAGGUAACUUUGGAGUUGGCUCUUGUCUAUGUUCCUUGGAACAGGACGUCACAGAGGGUGAGAAUCCCGUGCGAUGAGAUGCCCAACUCCAUGUAAAGUGCUUUCGAAGAGUCGAGUUGUUUGGGAAUGCAGCUCUAAGUGGGUGGUAAAUUCCAUCUAAAGCUAAAUAUUGGCGAGAGACCGAUAGCGAACAAGUACAGUGAUGGAAAGAUGAAAAGAACUUUGAAAAGAGAGUGAAAAAGUACGUGAAAUUGUUGAAAGGGAAGGGCUUGAGAUCAGACUUGGUAUUUUGCGAUCCCUUCCUUCUUGGUUGGGUUCCUCGCAGCUUACUGGGCCAGCAUCGGUUUGGAUGGUAGGAUAAUGAUUAAGGAAUGUGGCUCUACUUCGGUGGAGUGUUAUAGCCUUGGUUGAUACUGCCUGUCUAGACCGAGGACUGCGUCUUUUGACUAGGAUGCUGGCAUAAUGAUCUUAAGCCAC